AGACACACUCCAGGAGAAAGUGCCUGUGAGGGGAUCCACAGGCCACCCCCAUUGUUGUCUGUGUGCUGCCUGGUGCCUGCUUCCCCUCCCGCAUCCCAAUUACCUGCUCUCUGGAACAUCUCCAUGCCAGGUACUGAACAGGGUUCCCUUGAAGCACUUGUUCCAAAAGGUUCAGUACUGAGGCGGUGGGAGGUCGUAAGUAACAGAUAACCACCAGGACAGACUUGAUAUCUGUGUGCAGGUCUUAGGCCUGUGUAUGUGCCUCUUGCUCUCUUGUUUUGGGAAAGGGAAGGCAGCACGAAACACAGUCCAUAACAAUAGGUCCCUGAAUUUCUGUUAUCAGUGGAAGGUUCUUAAUCAUGUCUAUCAGUCCAACGACAGGCACCUCAGCCUCUCCCUUUCAGAAAGGGCACAGCUGAAGUUAGCACACACAUUGUGAAAUAUGGACUAAUCAGGUCUUAAUACUCACAACAGGCAAAUAUUCUUCUAAACUCUAACCAAAUCGUGUAGGCGCCUGUGUAGUGCUAUUCUCACCCUCAGUCGACACUCUCCUUUGCAAGGCCAGGCUGCCCUCUGGACCAGCCCUGAUAUAAAUAGGCUUGUAGUCAGAUUAUGAGAUUAUCUGCCCAUCUCAUCUGUCCCUGUAUCUUAGCAACCUGUGUACUAUUUCAACUUUAGUGUUGCUUCACUCCAACGCAAACCCCAGUUUGUGAGAUAGUCAUUCUUCAGAGGAAAUGAUUCUGAGCAGAUGCCCUUUGGCAGGCAUUUCCUCUUCCCUGUACUUGGGAACAGGAGCUCUUUGCUGUACCUCCCCAUGUCUUCACAGAACUGUGAGAUUCGGGAACCAGGAGGCAUUCUGUCUGAGUCCCUGCACAGCAGGGUUGCCUCUCAGGCUCUCAUUUACGCCAGGGCUCAGAUUCCCACUCACUCUCUGUGGAAGAGUGUGUUUCCUGUUUGAAUUCACUUGUAAUCUAUCUUCCAGAUGAUGUCAUUCCUUAUCACCUUAUUUUUCUUCACUGUUUUUGUUUUGUCAUUUAUUUUCAUUAUGCUGGAAAUUUCUGGGGGAUUCCUAGUUUUUCCAUUUCAAACUUGGGAAUUAUAAGUUUUACUGAGUGUAUUUCAAUGAAUCCAUGUGUGUACAAAACUAAAUAUCCACUGAGACACAUAUCCACAUAGUCCUUCUCUUUCCUGAUCCCAAAAAGGACAGUGUUAGCAAUUGGUGGGAAUUCUGCAGACAGAUUUUUUUCCUCCAACUGCACACAUAGAUAUGUAUUUAGGAAAGUAGAUGCGAUUUCAAGGGAGAAUGGUGUGUGUGUGAGGGGGGCAGUCUCAAAAGAGAGAUGUCUUGGGGCAAAGAAGGAGUUCCACUUUAAGUGGAAAUGCGGGCUACUUUGGAGGGUGGCCCACCCAUUGGUGUGGGUUUCAGUGUGUACCUGCUGUGUUUCCUUGAAGCUUAUUUACAGGGGGCUGGGCAAGAGGUGCAGUCGGGGUGCAGCUACUCAGUCAUGUGCUGGAUUCUCCGUGGCGCACACAUCUUCCUGAUUUUACCAGGCCAUGAGGCAAGGCGAGUGGCUCAUGAUCUCCACCUGUGCUCUCUGCACCUCCAUGGCUCAUGAGAUUCAGUCUCUCUCUCUCUAUCCCAGAUCCCUCUUCAUCUCCAUCCCUAGAAUUUGAUCCCUUGGGCUUAAGGACUGGUGGGAGUAAAGAUCCGCCUUCUAUGGCUGCUUUAAGUGGGCUUGGGGACACAACCCUGCUCCUCAGAAAAACAGUUGAC
Molecule: long non-coding RNA, 1774 nt
Filed under: Marmota monax (woodchuck)
Lineage: Eukaryota; Metazoa; Chordata; Mammalia; Rodentia; Sciuridae
Source: RNAcentral